Molecule: long non-coding RNA, 551 nt
Organism: Raphanus sativus (radish)
Lineage: Eukaryota; Viridiplantae; Streptophyta; Magnoliopsida; Brassicales; Brassicaceae
Exons: 2
Source: RefSeq, a predicted model, not a curated record
CUCUGUGGAGUUGUGUCAGUAAGCUCUGUGCAUGUCGGCAAUAUGUGUGAGACGAAAAAUUCUUUUCUAUUUCUCUUUCCUUUUGUAAUCUCUUUCUUCUCCAAAUACUCUUUUUUCUUCUUCUUUUCAUUUCUCUGUAUUUUACAAUUAAAUAUGUGUGUGUUGCAAAGUCUUUCUCCUCUCUACUUCUCUAUUUUCUUUCUAGUUUUUUAUUUUCGUUUCAUUCUCAAAUCUACAGAUUUUUAUAAUCGAAAAAUAAAUUCAUCUCAGAUGAAAGUUGUGUCGAAUUUGAGAAGGAUCAGCUGAUGAAUUCUCUUCCCAUGAUUGGGAAGUUGCUGAAGAUCGAAGAUGAAUCCAGAGUGAUGGAUAGCAAUUUUGUGAUGUUUGUUUAUAUAGAUAACAUCUAUGUUAGCAAUCAUUUUACUUGUUAACCAAUAUUAUUUAUGUUUAUUGGUGUAUCUUUUGUUUUCUAUCGCCAUUUGAGAUAAAUAGUUUGUUAGCUGUUAUUAUUUAGUUUUCGCUAAUUGAUAAUAUGUGGUAAAGUGUUAUAA